CUUGGAGGUUGUGCCCUUGAGGCGUGGCUUCCGGAGCUAACGCGUUAAGUCGACCGCCUGGGGAGUACGGCCGCAAGGUUAAAACUCAAAUGAAUUGACGGGGGCCCGCACAAGCGGUGGAGCAUGUGGUUUAAUUCGAUGCAACGCGAAGAACCUUACCUACUCUUGACAUCCAGAGAACUUUGCAGAGAUGCAUUGGUGCCUUCGGGAACUCUGAGACAGGUGCUGCAUGGCUGUCGUCAGCUCGUGUUGUGAAAUGUUGGGUUAAGUCCCGCAACGAGCGCAACCCUUAUCCUUUGUUGCCAGCGGUUCGGCCGGGAACUCAAAGGAGACUGCCAGUGAUAAACUGGAGGAAGGUGGGGAUGACGUCAAGUCAUCAUGGCCCUUACGAGUAGGGCUACACACGUGCUACAAUGGCAUAUACAAAGAGAAGCGACCUCGCGAGAGCAAGCGGACCUCAUAAAGUAUGUCGUAGUCCGGAUCGGAGUCUGCAACUCGACUCCGUGAAGUCGGAAUCGCUAGUAAUCGUGGAUCAGAAUGCCACGGUGAAUACGUUCCCGGGCCUUGUACUCCCCGCCCCGUCA
Molecule: ribosomal RNA, 584 nt
Filed under: Enterobacterales bacterium
Lineage: Bacteria; Pseudomonadati; Pseudomonadota; Gammaproteobacteria; Enterobacterales
Description: bacterial SSU rRNA
Rfam family: Bacterial small subunit ribosomal RNA
Source: RNAcentral